Molecule: long non-coding RNA, 589 nt
Filed under: Physcomitrium patens
Lineage: Eukaryota; Viridiplantae; Streptophyta; Bryopsida; Funariales; Funariaceae
Description: long non-coding RNA (PPAT_LNC013675)
Source: RNAcentral
GAUGAAGGUAGUGGUUUGAGUUUAUUUAAAACAUAAUUACAGAUUAAUUAAUUAACUAACUAAUUAUAAACUUUUUGUAAAUAAAUAGUUGAUUAAUCAAACUGUAAUUGUGUGUUCAAUUAAACUUUUUGAAGGGGGGCAAAGAGUUUCUAUUGAAAUACAUAAGGUUACAAUUUGGUGUACAGAAGAAAUUAAAAAUAUUCUUACUGAUACUUUUUGGUAGAAUGUAAUAUGUGUUGUAAUUUUCCCUGGAGACAUCGGUCACUGAUAGACAUCAACACUCAUCUGGUUACAAAUUAAAUCACAUCAACUCACUCGCUAUCGCACUCCCGUGUAACACUCUUCACGACGCUUCCUACACAGCAGCAAAGCACAGCGAGCGAUUGAGCACGACAUAACAGAGCAUCGCACAGCGCCAACAUCUCCUUCUCUUCUCCUCGACGCGCCCGUGACCAUCUCCGUCUCGAUCCCUGCACAAGAGAGCUGCUGCAUUAUGAAAGCUGCGAGAACUACGCUGCCGGUUACGCACCCUUGGCUGCGACGCGAGCGACGAGGGCUUCGCGAGGGCGGAGCUAGACGAAGGAAAUGC